This 601-nucleotide unclassified non-coding RNA is filed under the name Hevea brasiliensis (rubber tree). Lineage: Eukaryota; Viridiplantae; Streptophyta; Magnoliopsida; Malpighiales; Euphorbiaceae. The record is from RNAcentral.
UCUGUCUCUCUCUCUCUCUCUCCUUUGGGUUGGGGUGAGAUGAAGUGGGGAGCAGAGCAAAAUCAGAAUGAAGCAGAAAAAAUUAUUGUUCUAGAAUGGCUGUUCCUCUUUAAUUCUCAUUGAACUAUGACUGCUUGUAACAUAAUUACAUUAAAAAAAUAGUUUUUUCUCCUUUAAGGAACCUACAAAUUCACAGAUAUUGGCACAAGGGAAACAGUACAGAUAGGUCUUACCUGAGCCUAGUCCCUAAACCUUACUCCUAGUUCUUGGGUCAAAAUGAAGAACUGGAAUUUUAGCAAUCUUCGUAACAGUUUAUACAAGUAAGAUCAAUAUGUUUGAAACUAAAUCUGGCGAUGAACCACCUAGACAGUGCCACUGCAUUUUACAGACCAGUAUAUCCGAAACGAAAGCGCUAAGCAAUUAAAUUAAAUUAAUCAACGAAACAACAUAGAGGUUCUGUUAGAAAUAAAAUUUUAUGUUCAAAUCAGAUAUGAAAGACAAACACAUGCAACAUUCUCAAGGAAAUUUUCUCAUUAUAAUCAUUAAUUGGGAUAAUUCAGUGGCAAUGGCUGUUGACACAGUAACACAAAACAGUCAACAG